AUGUACUUGAUAAUUCACUCGGAUUCCCCUUCAAGACAUCUUGGGUGAUGCAAAAACCGAGUCUCUGAUGCU
Molecule: small nucleolar RNA, 72 nt
Organism: Impatiens glandulifera
Lineage: Eukaryota; Viridiplantae; Streptophyta; Magnoliopsida; Ericales; Balsaminaceae
Product: small nucleolar RNA snoR60
Exons: 1
Source: RefSeq, a predicted model, not a curated record